Molecule: ribosomal RNA, 495 nt
Filed under: uncultured bacterium
Lineage: Bacteria
Description: partial 16S ribosomal RNA
Rfam family: Bacterial small subunit ribosomal RNA
Source: RNAcentral
GACGAACGCUGGCGGCGUGCCUAAUACAUGCAAGUUGAGCGCUGAAGGUUGGUACUUGUACCAACUGGAUGAGCAGCGAACGGGUGAGUAACGCGUGGGGAAUCUGCCUUUGAGCGGGGACAACAUUUGGAAACGAAUGCUAAUACCGCAUAAAAACUUUAAACACAAGUUUUAAGUUUGAAAGAUGCAAUUGCAUCACUCAAAGAUGAUCCCGCGUUGUAUUAGCUAGUUGGUGAGGUAAAGGCUCACCAAGGCGAUGAUACAUAGCCGACCUGAGAGGGUGAUCGGCCACAUUGGGACUGAGACACGGCCCAAACUCCUACGGGAGGCAGCAGUAGGGAAUCUUCGGCAAUGGACGAAAGUCUGACCGAGCAACGCCGCGUGAGUGAAGAAGGUUUUCGGAUCGUAAAACUCUGUUGGUAGAGAAGAACGUUGGUGAGAGUGGAAAGCUCAUCAAGUGACGGUAACUACCAGAAAGGGACGGCUAACUACGUG